UACGUAGGCAGCGAGCGUUUGUUCGGAAUUACUGGGCGUAAAGAGUGUGUAGGCGGUGCUCCCAGUCUGUUGUGAAAUCUCCCGGCUUAACUGGGAGGGUGCAGCGGAAACUAGAGUGCUAGAGGGUGGGAGAGGUAAGCGGAAUUCCUGGUGUAGCGGUGAAAUGCGUAGAUAUCAGGAGGAACACCUGUGGUGUAGACAGCUUACUGGACCACUUCUGACGCUGAGACACGAAAGCGUGGGUAGCAAACAGG
This 254-nucleotide ribosomal RNA is filed under the name uncultured bacterium. Its description in RNAcentral is "partial 16S ribosomal RNA". It matches the Rfam family "Bacterial small subunit ribosomal RNA", at positions 524 to 776 of the family's 1533-position model. The record is from RNAcentral.